Molecule: transfer RNA, 72 nt
Filed under: Chaetoceros tenuissimus
Lineage: Eukaryota; Bacillariophyta; Thalassiosirophyceae; Chaetocerotales; Chaetocerotaceae
Description: tRNA-Thr
Source: RNAcentral
AGCUGAUUCCAAGGAUCGAACUUGGGAUCUUUUGAUUACAAGUCAAAUGCGUUACCACUGCGCCAAACCAGC